This 721-nucleotide ribosomal RNA is filed under the name uncultured Lachnospiraceae bacterium. RNAcentral's name for it is "bacterial SSU rRNA". It matches the Rfam family "Bacterial small subunit ribosomal RNA", at positions 44 to 779 of the family's 1533-position model. Lineage: Bacteria; Bacillati; Bacillota; Clostridia; Lachnospirales; Lachnospiraceae. The record is from RNAcentral.
GCGCCUAACACAUGCAAGUCGAACGAGCGAGAGAGAGCUUGCUUUCUCGAGCGAGUGGCGAACGGGUGAGUAACGCGUGAGGAACCUGCCUCAAAGAGGGGGACAACAGUUGGAAACGACUGCUAAUACCGCAUAAGCCCACGACCCGGCAUCGGGUAGAGGGAAAAGGAGCAAUCCGCUUUGAGAUGGCCUCGCGUCCGAUUAGCUAGUUGGUGAGGUAACGGCCCACCAAGGCGACGAUCGGUAGCCGGACUGAGAGGUUGAACGGCCACAUUGGGACUGAGACACGGCCCAGACUCCUACGGGAGGCAGCAGUGGGGAAUAUUGCACAAUGGGGGAAACCCUGAUGCAGCGACGCCGCGUGGAGGAAGAAGGUCUUCGGAUUGUAAACUCCUGUUGUUGAGGAAGAUAAUGACGGUACUCAACAAGGAAGUGACGGCUAACUACGUGCCAGCAGCCGCGGUAAAACGUAGGUCACAAGCGUUGUCCGGAAUUACUGGGUGUAAAGGGAGCGCAGGCGGGAAGGCAAGUUGGAAGUGAAAUCCAUGGGCUCAACCCAUGAACUGCUUUCAAAACUGUUUUUCUUGAGUAGUGCAGAGGUAGGCGGAAUUCCCGGUGUAGCGGUGGAAUGCGUAGAUAUCGGGAGGAACACCAGUGGCGAAGGCGGCCUACUGGGCACCAACUGACGCUGAGGCUGAAAGUGUGGGUAGCAAACAGGAUU